CCUCUUCCAGAUUCAGUCUUCAUUGCCUCUCACAAUCAUGGUGUCCCAUACUCAAAUAGAAGCUAGUUUCCAUGUGCCUGAUUACCCAGAGGUGACCAGUUACCAACUCAUGCAUACUGGCAGCCUUUGCACUCCUUGUAGAUAGGAACUACUGGGAUCUUUCCAGGGAAAUACUAUUAUUUUAAAAUUUCUUCCUUUCUCUGGUAUUAUUGGAGGUGGCAGAGGGAACUCUCUUUCAUGAUUUUCUGGUAUUGACUGCCUUUUCACUUUUUUCUAGCUCAAUAAUACACCAAUCUCUUCUCGGCUGUCAUUUGCAGAAAUGACUGGAAAACAGUUUAUGGGGAAAAUACCUAGGGGUGAUAAUAAAUUGCAAAAUGAUAUGGAAGCAAAAAAGUGGAUUGUGGCCAGAUAUGAAGAGGAAAUGGAUCUCAUUUUUGUGUCAUUUCUAAGACAGAAGAGCAAGAUCUUCGCAAACAGGAUUAAGGAUUUAACCAAGAAGAUAUUUGAGGCCAUAUUUGAAGCCAGAUCCUCCUGACUCCAGACUUGGCACUCCAUCCACUGUGCCACCUAGCUGCACCAGCAAUCAUUUAAGGACCUGCUAUGUUCCAGAUCAGGCAGGUGCUGAGUUCCCAUCUGCCUUCAGACGUUUGCUAGCUGUGUGACCCU
RNAcentral lists this long non-coding RNA (666 nucleotides) under Monodelphis domestica (gray short-tailed opossum). Its description in RNAcentral is "lncRNA (ENSMODG00000035026.2)". Lineage: Eukaryota; Metazoa; Chordata; Mammalia; Didelphimorphia; Didelphidae. The record is from RNAcentral.